GACGAACGCUGGCGGCGUGCUUAACACAUGCAAGUCGAACGGACAGGCCCUGCUUUUGUGGGGUGCUCGAGUGGCGAACGGGUGAGUAACACGUGAGUAACCUGCCCUUGACUUUGGGAUAACUUCAGGAAACUGGGGCUAAUACCGGAUAUGAGCUCCUGCUGCAUGUUGGGGGUUGGAAAGAUUCGGCUGUUGGGGAUGGACUCGAUGGUUAUCAGCUGGUUGGUGGGGUAGUGGAUUCCAAAGGCUUUGACGGGUAGCCGGCCUGAGAGGGUGACCGGCCACCUUGGGACUGAGAGACGGCGCAGACUGGUACGUGACGCAGUAGUGGGGAAUAUUGCACAACGGGGGGAAGUCAGAUGCAGCAAUGCCGCGUGCGGGAUGACGUCCUUCGGGUUGUAAACCGCUUUCGCAUGUGACGAAGAGUGAGUGACGGUAAUGGGUAAAGAAGCACCGGCUAACUACGUG
This 468-nucleotide ribosomal RNA is filed under the name uncultured bacterium. Its description in RNAcentral is "partial 16S ribosomal RNA". It matches the Rfam family "Bacterial small subunit ribosomal RNA", at positions 28 to 507 of the family's 1533-position model. The record is from RNAcentral.